GAUGAACGCUGGCGGCGUGCCUAAUACAUGCAAGUCGAGCGAACAGAUGAGGAGCUUGCUCCUCUGACGUUAGCGGCGGACGGGUGAGUAACACGUGGAUAACCUACCUAUAAGACUGGUAUAACUUCGGGAAACCGGAGCUAAUACCGUAUAAUAUAUUGAACCGCAUGGUUCAAUAGUGAAAGACGGUUUUGCUGUCACUUAUAGAUGGAUCCGCGCCGCAUUAGCUAGUUGGUAAGGUAACGGCUUACCAAGGCAACGAUGCGUAGCCGACCUGAUGGGGUGAUCGGCCACACUGGAACUGAGACACGGUCCAGACGACUACGGUAGGCAGCAGUAGGGAAUCUUCCGCAAUAGGCGAAAGCCUGACGGAGCAACGCCGAGUGAGUGAUGAAGAUCUUCGGAUCGUAAAACUCUGUUAUUAGGGAAGAACAAAUGUGUAAGUAACUAUGCACGUCUUGACGGUACCUAAUCAGAAAGCCACGGCUAACUACGUG
RNAcentral lists this ribosomal RNA (497 nucleotides) under uncultured bacterium. RNAcentral describes it as "partial 16S ribosomal RNA". It matches the Rfam family "Bacterial small subunit ribosomal RNA", at positions 28 to 507 of the family's 1533-position model. The record is from RNAcentral.